AAACAAAUGACCAUUCAAAUCAACACAAUGAAACCAACAUAAAAAAAUAAAAAAAAACAAGUCGAUCACACUUUAAAAGAGAGAUGAAACACAUCAGUUGAAAACCAACUCACAAUGCAAUUUCCAAAGACGAAAAUGACAGUACAUAAAAUACAACAUAUUAGAAACCUAAAGACCAGGUAAUACAAACCCCACUUAAUUUAAAACAAAGAGUGCACACGC
Molecule: long non-coding RNA, 222 nt
Filed under: Mytilus galloprovincialis (Mediterranean mussel)
Lineage: Eukaryota; Metazoa; Mollusca; Bivalvia; Mytilida; Mytilidae
Source: RNAcentral